This is a long non-coding RNA of Camellia sinensis, 1312 nucleotides long. RefSeq lists it as uncharacterized. NCBI's taxonomy places the organism in Eukaryota, Viridiplantae, Streptophyta, Magnoliopsida, Ericales, Theaceae. The record is from RefSeq and is a predicted model, not a curated record.
UCUAACGCAUAUAAAUUCCCGAAUAUAACCUUGUGCUGCAAAUAGAAUAGCAGAGGAACUAAGCCACCACUUGAAGAACAACUGAGAUGUAUACGUGUGCUGUGUUUGGGUAGGAUUCUUUAUGUGUGCUAGGUGCAGCCAACCCCAGAUUACACAUGUGCUUCACAACCGACUUUCCACCCAAUAGGAAGCCACCAUUUGUUAUGUUCCUAUCCUCCUUGAUCGGUGCUUGUACACAAUUACAGCUAGAGCCUUCUUAUUCUUAAUUGUUGAUACUGUAAACUGGAACAAUGAACAAAGACUCACAAUAAUAGACUUGCUGCCAUUGUUUUUUGCUUUUCAUUGUCAUUUCUGUCUAAUUAUAUAUUUGUUUACAAUAUGGAAAAAAAAAAUAUUUGGUUUGUACAAUUUGUAUCUGUUCCUGAAAUUGAUGCUACAACUGUGAUGCAAAUUGACAAAGUAUUUGCUCAUCUAUGCAUCAAAGCUCUAUAUUGUUAUUGUUAAAUCACAAUUUGAUGAGCUCCCUAUUCCUCAAUUCAUGGGUUAGGUGACAUGCAUGUAUAUGUUCGUAUGCAUGCAUAUAUAUAGAUAUAUUUGUGUGUAUAUGGUGGAGGGAGGCAGUUUUACACCUUGUAGUUUUCAAUUUUUUAGGUUUGCCAAUGUUCAUGUCUUGGUGUUUGUUAGUAUAGAAAAACGUUGUACACCAUGUGUUUGAUGAUAUACCCAUAAGAAAACUUAUUAUGUUUUAAGUGGUGGUGUGUUUUUAUCUUUCUCCUCCUGACCUCUUAUUCCUUUUGUCGGUUUGAACAGGUUGGUUGGAUUUUGUUGUAGCUGAGGCCAAAAGGUAUGGAAUCAAACCUUGUGUUGAGUUUAGUGAGUAACUAUAUGACAACUUUGGAACAUGGAAACAGUAUGUGAAGUGAACUAGAAACAAAGGUCAAUACUUAACACCUAUUGUUAAAGGAUAUUACAACCAUGUUAAGUUGGUUCAGAUCAAGCAGCAUCAAAAAGUAGUAUUCCUUUUUCUCCCCAGUGGCUUUAUACUAAACCGAGUGAGACUAAGAUGGUGAGUUCUAUGAUUUGAUAAUUGUAGCUCUGUUUUUUACUUGACAAUAACCUAUGAUGCCUCUGUUUUGUGUACCAUUUUAUAUAUCUGUAAAGGUGUAGGAUAUACUAAUUUGAUGAUGGGUUAUUUACAUGGAGAAAAACUAUCACUUUGUGCCCUUAAUUAGCGACAAAUAAUGUACAUUAAAAUUUAGAACAUUGAGAAACAAUUUCUGCUAUAAUGGAGUUCAAAUGCUCAAAAAUCUAA